RNAcentral lists this ribosomal RNA (468 nucleotides) under uncultured bacterium. RNAcentral's name for it is "partial 16S ribosomal RNA". It matches the Rfam family "Bacterial small subunit ribosomal RNA", at positions 28 to 507 of the family's 1533-position model. The record is from RNAcentral.
GACGAACGCUGGCGGCGUGCUUAACACAUGCAAGUCGAACGGAAAGGCCCUGAUUUUGUGGGGUGCUCGGGUGGCGAACGGGUGAGUGACACGUGAAUAACCUGCUCUUGUCUUUGGGAUAACUUCAGGUAGCUGGGGCUACUACCGGAUAGGAGCUCCUGUAGCGGGGUGAGGGUUGGAACUUUGCGGCUGGUGGGGAUGGACGCGCGGCUGAUCAGCUUGUUGGUGGGCGAGUGGCUUGCCAAGGCUUUGAACGAUAGCCGGCAGGGGAGGGUGACCGGGGACCUUGGGACUGAGAUACGCAGCAGACUCCAAUGGGAGGCAGUAGGGGGGAAUAUUGCCCAGUGAGAGGAAGCCUGAUGCAGCAGCGUUGCGUGCGGGAUGCCGUCCUUCGGGUUGUAAACAGCUUUAGGCUGUGACGCAGCGUGAGUGACGGUACUGGGUAAAGAAGCACCGGCUAACUACGUG